Molecule: long non-coding RNA, 1397 nt
Filed under: Trifolium pratense (red clover)
Lineage: Eukaryota; Viridiplantae; Streptophyta; Magnoliopsida; Fabales; Fabaceae
Description: long non-coding RNA (TPRA_LNC006009)
Source: RNAcentral
UCAGCGAGCAUUUGAACCAAACAGUUAAUUGUAUCACAAUUGUGUGGGGAUAGAAGAGUAAAUUAGUAAUUUCCAUAGAAAUAUUUAACAUUAACAUAUAUGUGUGGAAGUAUAACUAGACCAGAAAUACACACACACAUACACACCAGAGAAAGAUAUUCCUAACCUGCCUUUACUGCUUCUUGCAACGUUUCAAGUACCGUAUCCAAGGAAACCAUAUGAUGCCUGGAAACCAUAUUACAUUAACUACACAACAACAAUAGCAAAAUAUAUUCGAAAAAGGGAUUUAUAUUGUACAGUACAUGAUUAAGAAGAUCCGUGAGGGAUGAAAAUAAACCGAAUAACUGUGGUUGGACAAUUACUUUCUUUGCUUUAGGUAGAAGUUGAGCAAAUGCCCUGCAGGCACCUACUUUUACAGGUGGAGGUCUGUCAGAUUAAAAGUUAGAAGAAAGCUUGAUAUACAAAGAAUACAAAUUGACACGUGUUUGCUUACACAUUCACUGUAAUUGCCUUCAGUGCAGCAUCAAGAGAGUGCUCUAGUACUUGAUUGCUUAUUUGUAAAUUAAGAGAUUUUCACGUCAAGAUUAUAACAUAUGAACACAUGUAAUCAUUAUAUCCAUAUUAGGAAAAACACAAGUCCCACAUUGAAUAGAGAUAAGGCCUUAAAUGUGUUUGUAAAGAGUGGCACCUCAACUUACAAGCCAUAAUAGAGACAUUACUCCAAGGUACAAUAUUAUUCUUUCACAAUUGUGGCUUGUAAAAUGACAGGUGACACUCUUCAUAAAAACUUAAUGAUCCUACAAUCAAUUUACUGAUUUUCUGAAUGUGAUGCUAUGAUUAAAUUUGAUAAUUUUCCAUUCAUUUACUUUAGAAAUCGUCGAAGGUUAGUCAAGGGGAAAAGAGUUGCAGGAAGUAAAAUUGAAAAGUUGGUGGAUGAAUUUCCACAGGCUAUCUUCUCUUCAGGUAUGGUUGUAUUGGCUGUCCAUUGUGUUUUUUUCCUUCAAAAAUACUCGUGAGAAGGAAUUCAGAUCAGAUUGUGUAAAAAAAUGGCUUGGGUUAUGUUUCUUUAAUCUGCCAUACAUACAUGCAUAAAAUGAAGGAAAAAAUCAAUAUAUUCAGAUUUUGCUGAAAUCUGAGCGAAACAGUGCUUUAAUAUGAACUAGAAAGUGAGUAGUUCCUUCAAUAGAACGGAGGAAAUUCUUCCACUAACUAUUUUUAUCAAACUUUGUCCGGUUUAAUGUCAUUUUCCUGCGUUAUUUGAAUAAGCUCUGAUUUGUAACCAUUCUAUUUGCAGGAAAGAUAAAUGAUGACAAAGAAUUACCUGGUGCAGUUUUAUUAUGCUUCUCUUUCACUCCUAAAAAUGUGUACUCAGCCUGCUCGAGAUAAUCUGCAGCCUA